ACAUGUCUUUUUGAGAAAAAUUUAAAGUCGGGCCUGCCCACUGAGAUAUUGAAGGGCCGCGGUAUUUUGACCGUGCAAAGGUAGCAUAAUCAUUAGUCUUUUAAUUGAAGGCUGGAAUGAAUGGUUUGACGAAGUAUUAACUGUCUUUUUAUAAAAUGUGGAAUUUAACUUUUAAGUUAAAAGGCUUAAAUAAUAAUAAAGGACGAGAAGACCCUAUAGAGUUUUAUAUAAGUAAUGAAUAAAUUUAUUUGGAAGUUGAGAUUUUUAUUUAAAAUUUAUAUUGUGUUGGGGUGACAUAAAGAUAUAAGAAACUCUUUAUUAUUUAUACAUAAAUUUAUGGUUAAUUGAUCCAUUAUUAAUGAUUAUAAGAUAAAAUUACCUUAGGGAUAACAGCGUAAUUUUUCUAAAGAGUUCAUAUCGAAAGAAAAGUUUGCGACCUCGAUGUUGGAUUAAGAUAAUGGUUAGGUGUAGCAGCUUAAUUAAUAAGUCUGUUCGACUUUUAAAAUCUUAC
RNAcentral lists this ribosomal RNA (511 nucleotides) under Phlesirtes merumontanus. Its description in RNAcentral is "partial 16S ribosomal RNA". It matches the Rfam family "Bacterial large subunit ribosomal RNA", at positions 1815 to 2599 of the family's 2925-position model. Lineage: Eukaryota; Metazoa; Arthropoda; Insecta; Orthoptera; Tettigoniidae. The record is from RNAcentral.